Molecule: non-coding RNA, 66 nt
Organism: Podarcis lilfordi (Lilford's wall lizard)
Lineage: Eukaryota; Metazoa; Chordata; Lepidosauria; Squamata; Lacertidae
Source: the annotation of a GenBank genome assembly
AAAUUGUGUGUGUGUGUGUGUGUGUGUGUGUGUGCGCGCGCACACACACACACACACACACAACUG